GACGAACGCUGGCGGCGUGCCUAACACAUGCAAGUCGAACGGAGCUUUGAAGAGAGCUUGCUCUCAUUAAAGCUUAGUGGCGAACGGGUGAGUAACACGUAGGGAACCUACCUAUACGACGAGGAUAACUACUGGAAACGGUAGCUAAAACUGGAUAGGAUCAAUUGAGGCAUCUUGAUUGAUUUAAAGAUCCUUCGGGAUUACGUAGAGAUGGCCCUGCGGCGCAUUAGCUAGUUGGUGAGGUAACGGCCACCAAGGCGACGAUGCGUAGCUGAGCUGAGAGGCUAAACAGCCACACUGGGACUGAGACACGGCCCAGACUCCUACGGGAGGCAGCAGUAGGGAAUUUUCGGCAAUGGGGGAAACCCUGACCGAGCAAUGCCGCGUGAACGAUGAAGGUCUUCGGAUUGUAAAGUUCUGUGAUUGGGGAAGAAUGGUAUUCUUAGGGAAUGAGGAGUACAUGACGGUACCCGAUUAGAAAGCCCCGGCUAACUAUGUGCC
Molecule: ribosomal RNA, 501 nt
Filed under: uncultured bacterium
Lineage: Bacteria
Description: bacterial SSU rRNA
Rfam family: Bacterial small subunit ribosomal RNA
Source: RNAcentral